RNAcentral lists this ribosomal RNA (468 nucleotides) under uncultured bacterium. RNAcentral describes it as "partial 16S ribosomal RNA". It matches the Rfam family "Bacterial small subunit ribosomal RNA", at positions 28 to 507 of the family's 1533-position model. The record is from RNAcentral.
GACGAACGCUGGCGGCGUGCUUAACACAUGCAAGUCGAACGGAAAGGCCCUGCUUUUGUGGGCUGCGCGAGGUGCGAACGGGUGAGUAACACGUAAGUAACCUGCCCUUGACUUUGGGAUAACUUAAGGAAACUUGGUCUAAUCCCGGAUAGGAUUUCCCGCUGCAUGGUGGGGGUUGGAAAGUUUCGGCGGUUGGGGAUGGACUCGCGGCUUAUCAGCUUGUUGGUGGGGUAGUGGAUUACCAAGGCAUUGACCGGUAGCAGGCCUGAGAGGGUGGCCGGCCACGUUGGGAUUGGGCUGCGGCCCAGACUCCUACGGGAGGCAGCAGUGGGGAAUAGUGCACAAUGGGAGGAAGCCUGAUGCAGCAACGCCGCGUGCGGGAUGAGGGCCUUCGGGUUGUAAACCACUUUCGCCUGUGCCGAAGCGUGAGUGACGGUAAUGGGUAAAGAAGCACCGGCUAACUACGUG